AAAACGUUACUUUUGGUCCUUUUGAUUUAUCAUUUUUAUCAUUAAGGUUUCCGUGGUUUCAAUUUGAUCUUUUUUACCCUGUGGUUUCAAUUUGAAGCAAUUCAAGGAUAAUUUUCAAUUUCUAUCAAUUUUUUUUAACUUAAUGCUAUUUGUUGAGAGACAAUUUAGUCUCUAAAUUAUUAAAAAUUAAUUCCUUUUAAAAAUAAAGAAUAUAAAUAUAAAUAAUAAAAAAUUAGUUUCAAAAUAAAAUAAAACAUCUAUGUCCCUUUUUUCUCCUAACUCCCACCGACAGUCCCUACCCAACACCAGCCAGCUGCCACCUCCUUAUAACUCAACUUAACAAAAAAAAAAUUAAAAUAAAACAUAUCUUAUCGUAUGCUAUUGGCACAAGAGUGUUGGGAAAGAAUGAGAGUUACACCUCCAUAACCAUUAGAGAGUUGUGUUUGACUCUUUAUUUUAGAAAGAAUUUUAAGGCCCAUUUACAAUUAAUCAUCUCUGCCUACAAGUACAAAUGGGAAAUUGAACAAACUCUUUAUGCUGAAGAAGAAUAAAGAAUAAUUACAUUUGCUCUUCUUCAUUCAUUGCCUGCAAGUGCUAAUUAUAAGAGCAGUUCCAGCAACAAGGAUUAGGAAGGGGGGGUGGUUUGGUUUAGGCCCAAAAAUUGUUUCCAGUAGCAAAGCCUGGCCCUGGCAGGAGAUGAGGCCCACGAACUUAGGCUAGCUCUCAGGCAAGAUCUGUCUUAGUUCCAGCCCGAGUUUGAUGACGUCAGCAACAAAAUUUUUUUUAGAAAAAUCUAAAAAAAAUACAAAAAUUUUCAGAUUUU
RNAcentral lists this long non-coding RNA (823 nucleotides) under Prunus persica (peach). Its description in RNAcentral is "long non-coding RNA (PPER_LNC003102)". Lineage: Eukaryota; Viridiplantae; Streptophyta; Magnoliopsida; Rosales; Rosaceae. The record is from RNAcentral.